AACGAACGUUGGCGGCAUGGAUUAGGCAUGCAAGUCGAACGAAUGCUAAGUAGCAAUACUUAGCGGAAGUGGCGAAAGGGGCAGUAAUGUAUAGGUAAUCUACCCUGGGGAUGGGCAUAGCCGUUCUAAUGGACGGGUAAUACCCAGCGAUUCGGCGACGAGGCAUCUCGUUGCCGGGAAAUGAAUUUCGCCUCGGGAGGAGCCUAUAUCGUAUUACCUAGUUGGUGGGGUAACGGCCUACCAAGGGGAAGAUGCGUAGCGGGUGUGAGAGCACGAUCCGCGCCACUGGCACUGAGACACUGGCCAGACACCUACGGGUGGCUGCAGUCGAGGAUCUUCGUCAAUGGGCGAAAGCCUGAACGAGCGAUGCCGCGUGUGCGAUGAAGGCCUUCGGGUUGUAAAGCACAAAAGAGGUGAGAAAGGGAAACUUGAUCAAACCUCAGUAAGCUCGGGCUAAGUUCGUGCCAGCAGCCGCGGUAAAAC
RNAcentral lists this ribosomal RNA (483 nucleotides) under uncultured bacterium. RNAcentral's name for it is "bacterial SSU rRNA". It matches the Rfam family "Bacterial small subunit ribosomal RNA", at positions 29 to 526 of the family's 1533-position model. The record is from RNAcentral.